AGCAGCCGCGGUAAUUCCAGCUCCAAUAGCGUAUAUUAAAGUUGCUGCAGUUAAAAAGCUCGUAGUUGAAUUUUGGGACCAAUAUGUCGGUCGUGCCUCGGUACGUACUGGCAUCGUUGGUUUCUCCCUUCUGACGAACCAUGAUGUCAUUUAUUUGGUGUCGUGGGAAAUCAGGACUGUUACUUUGAAAAAAUUAGAGUGUUUAAAGCAGGCUCACGCUUGAAUACAUUAGCAUGGAAUAAUGAAAUAGGACGUUUGAUUCUAUUUUGUUGGUUUCUAGGAUCGACGUAAUGAUUAAUAGGGAUAGUUGGGGGCAUUAGUAUUCAAUUGUCAGAGGUGAAAUUCUUGGAUUUAUUGAAGACUAACUACUGCGAAAGCAUUUGCCAAGGAUGUUUUCAUUAAUCAAGAACGAAAGUUAGGGGAUCGAAGACGAUCAGAUACCGUCGUAGUCUUAACCAUAAACUAUGCCGACUAGGGAUCGGAUGAUGUUAAUUUUUUAAUGACUCAUUCGGCGCCUUACG
Molecule: ribosomal RNA, 521 nt
Filed under: uncultured Glomeraceae
Lineage: Eukaryota; Fungi; Glomeromycota; Glomeromycetes; Glomerales; Glomeraceae
Description: SSU rRNA
Rfam family: Eukaryotic small subunit ribosomal RNA
Source: RNAcentral